GCGGUUCCGGUUCCCGCCUCGACGAGCCCGUCGAGACGACCCGGCGACC
RNAcentral lists this non-coding RNA (49 nucleotides) under Catenuloplanes japonicus. RNAcentral's name for it is "L31-Actinobacteria ribosomal protein leader". It matches the Rfam family "L31-Actinobacteria ribosomal protein leader". The record is from RNAcentral. Lineage: Bacteria; Bacillati; Actinomycetota; Actinomycetes; Micromonosporales; Micromonosporaceae.